This 210-nucleotide ribosomal RNA is filed under the name Triticum aestivum (bread wheat). RNAcentral's name for it is "partial small subunit ribosomal RNA". The record is from RNAcentral. Lineage: Eukaryota; Viridiplantae; Streptophyta; Magnoliopsida; Poales; Poaceae.
AUGUAUCCUAAUUUUGGCAUAAUUCUUCUUCUAAUGACCGAUUCAACCUCUGAUCAAAAAGAUAGACCUUGGUUCUAUUUCAUCUCUUCAACACGUUUAGUAAUAAGCAUAACGGCCCUAUUGUUCCAAUGGAGAGAAGAACCUAUAAAUAGCUUUUGGGGAAAUUUCCAAACGAACAAUUUCAACGAAAUCUUUCAAUUUCUAAUUUAA